CCUACGGGAGGCUGCAGUGAGGAAUAUUGGUCAAUGGACGAGAGUCUGAACCAGCCAAGUCGCGUGAAGGAUGACUGCCCUAUGGGUUGUAAACUUCUUUUAUAAAGGAAUAAAACGAGGCACGUGUGCCUUUUUGCAUGUACUUUAUGAAUAAGGAUCGGCUAACUCCGUUCCAGCCGCCGCGGUAAUACGGAGGAUGCGAGCGUUAUCCGGAUUUAUUGGGUUUAAAGGGAGCGUAGAUGGGUUGUUAAGUCAGUUGUGAAAGUUUGCGGCUCAACCGUAAAAUUGCAAUUGAUACUGGCAGUCUUGAGUACAGUUGAGGUAGGCGGAAUUCGUGGUGUAGCGGUGAAAUGCUUAGAUAUCACGAAGAACCCCGAUUGCGAAGGCAGCUUACUAAACUGUGACUGACAUUGAUGCUCGAAAGUGUGGGUAUCAAACAGGAUUAGAUACCCCGGUAGUC
RNAcentral lists this ribosomal RNA (460 nucleotides) under uncultured bacterium. RNAcentral describes it as "partial 16S ribosomal RNA". It matches the Rfam family "Bacterial small subunit ribosomal RNA", at positions 338 to 795 of the family's 1533-position model. The record is from RNAcentral.